This 492-nucleotide ribosomal RNA is filed under the name uncultured bacterium. RNAcentral's name for it is "partial 16S ribosomal RNA". It matches the Rfam family "Bacterial small subunit ribosomal RNA", at positions 29 to 507 of the family's 1533-position model. The record is from RNAcentral.
AGUGAACGCUGGCGGUAGGCCUAACACAUGCAAGUCGAACGGCAGCACAGUAAGAGCUUGCUCUUACGGGUGGCGAGUGGCGGACGGGUGAGGAAUACAUCGGAAUCUACUUUUUCGUGGGGGAUAACGUAGGGAAACUUACGCUAAUACCGCAUACGACCUACGGGUGAAAGCAGGGGAUCUUCGGACCUUGCGCGAUUGAAUGAGCCGAUGUCGGAUUAGCUAGUUGGCGGGGUAAAGGCCCACCAAGGCGGCGAUCCGUAGCUGGUCUGAGAGGAGGGACAGCCACACUGGAACUGAGCCACGGUCCAGACUCCUACGGGAGGCAGAAGUGGGGAAUAUUGGACAAUGGGCGCAAGCCUGAUCCAGCCAUACCGCGUGGGUGAAGAAGGCCUUCGGGUUGUAAAGCCCUUUUGUUGGGAAAGAAAAGCAGCAGGUUAAUACCCCGCUGUUCUGACGGUACCCAAAGAAUAAGCACCGGCUAACUUCGUG